Molecule: unclassified non-coding RNA, 345 nt
Filed under: soil metagenome
Description: partial contains 5.8S ribosomal RNA, internal transcribed spacer 2, and large subunit ribosomal RNA
Rfam family: 5.8S ribosomal RNA (bases 1-121)
Source: RNAcentral
GAUGAAGAACGUAGCGAAAUGCGAUAAGUAAUGCGAAUUGCAGAAUUUCCGUGAGUCAUCGAAUCUUUGAACGCACAUUGCGCCCACUGGUAUUCCGGUGGGCAUGCCUGUUCGAGCGUCAUUAUCCUCCCUCAAACCCCGGGUUUGGUGUUGGACCCAAGUUGUGUGAACAACUGGUCUCAAAGACAAUGACGGCGUCCGUGGGACCCUCGGUGCAACGAGCUUUUAGGAGCACGCAUCGAGUUGCAAGGACCUUCCGGGCCGGUCUCCUUUACCAUUUUACAAGGUUGACCUCGGAUCAGGUAGGGAUACCCGCUGAACUUAAGCAUAUCAAUAAGCGGAGGA